This 731-nucleotide ribosomal RNA is filed under the name uncultured Peptococcaceae bacterium. RNAcentral describes it as "bacterial SSU rRNA". It matches the Rfam family "Bacterial small subunit ribosomal RNA", at positions 29 to 727 of the family's 1533-position model. The record is from RNAcentral. Lineage: Bacteria; Bacillati; Bacillota; Clostridia; Eubacteriales; Peptococcaceae.
ACGAACGCUGGCGGCGUGCUUAACACAUGCAAGUCGAACGCAAGGACGGGAAGCGCUUGCUCUUUUCAGAAUUGAGUGGCAAACGGGUGAGUAACACGUAAACAACCUGCCUUCAGGAUGGGGACAACAGACGGAAACGACUGCUAAUACCGAAUAAGUUCCAAGAGCCGCAUGGCCCAUGGAAGAAAAGGUGGCCUCUACCUGUAAGCUAUCGCCUGAAGAGGGGUUUGCGUCUGAUUAGCUGGUUGGAGGGGUAACGGCCCACCAAGGCGACGAUCAGUAGCCGGUCUGAGAGGAUGAACGGCCACACUGGAACUGAGACACGGUCCAGACUCCUACGGGAGGCAGCAGUGGGGAAUCUUCCGCAAUGGGCGAAAACCUGACGGAGCAACGCCGCGUGAGUGAUGACGGCCUUCGGGUUGUAAAACUCUGUGAUCCGGGACGAAAAGGCAGAGUGCGAAGAACAAACUGCAUUGACGGUACCGGAAAAGCAAGCCACGGCUAACUACGUGCCAGCAGCCGCGGUAAUACGUAGGUGGCAAGCGUUGUCCGGAAUUAUUGGGCGUAAAGCGCGCGCAGGCGGCUUCCCAAGUCCCUCUUAAAAGUGCGGGGCUUAACCCCGUGAUGGGAAGGAAACUGGGAAGCUGGAGUAUCGGAGAGGAAAGUGGAAUUCCUAGUGUAGCGGUGAAAUGCGUAGAGAUUAGGAAGAACACCGGUGGCGAAGGCGACUU